Molecule: long non-coding RNA, 709 nt
Organism: Lagenorhynchus albirostris (white-beaked dolphin)
Lineage: Eukaryota; Metazoa; Chordata; Mammalia; Artiodactyla; Delphinidae
Exons: 3
Source: RefSeq, a predicted model, not a curated record
UAUAAUCAGGAGUUGUCGUACAGGAACAAAAGGAAAGGACGACAGCAAAUGGGAAAGUCACUUUUGCAUUGAGAAUUGGCCAGCCUAGAGGAUGGAAGGCAGAAGACCUUUCCAACAUGUUAAGAGCCAAAAGAGUACCUUUUAGUGUUUGUUUUGAUUAUAUUUGCCUGUAACCCAGCAACUGGACCCAGAUGCCAGGAGCCCAAAGAGAACACUGCUGAUGACUGGUGUAUGGAAAGAAAAAGAAAUCCUUUUGUUUUCUUACUUCUAUGGUUCUUCUCAAGAUGUGGAAACUGAUGCAUGGAGCCCAAGGUCAUCACUCAUAAGAGCAGGAGCUGGAAACUAACACUUAAAAGAACAUGUAGGGCUUCCCUGGUGGCACAGUGGUUGAGAGUCCGCCUGCCGAUGCAGGGGACACGGGUUCGUGCCCCGGUCCGGGAGGAUCCCACAUGCCGCGCGGUGACUGGGCCCGUGAGACAUGGCCGCUGAGCCUGCGCGUCCGGAGCCUGUGCUCUGCAGCGGGAGAGGCCACAACAGUGAGAGGCCCGCGUACCAAAAACAAAAAACAUUGUAGCCAAUAAGUAACUUUUGUGACACACUGUUUUUAGCAACUUGCUGGGAAAGCACACAGGAGAGAGUAUAAAUAGACUCUCCUGAAAGGGGCAACUCGCAUGAAAUCUACAAGGGGUCAGUCAUGGGUGAUGGUUGG